GAUUAACGCUGGCGGCGUGCAUAACACAUGCAAGUCGAACGAUGAAACUUUACUGACUUCUUCGGAAUGAUUUAAAGCGGAUUAGUGGCGAACGGGUGAGUAACGCGUGAGUAACCUGCCUUACACAAGGGGAUAGCCUCUGGAAACGGAGAAUAAUACCCUAUGAAACCAGACAAUCGCAUGAUAAUCUGGUCAAAAUGUUUAGUGGUGUAAGAUGGACUUGCGUCUGAUUAGCUAGUUGGUGAGAUAAAAGCUCACCAAGGCAACGAUCAGUAGCCGGCUUGAGAGAGUGUACGGUCACAUUGGGACUGAGACACGGCCCAGACUCCUACGGGAGGCAGCAGUGGGGAAUUUUGCACAAUGGGGGAAACCCUGAUGCAGCGACGCCGCGUGAUUUAGAAGGCCUUCGGGUUGUAAAAAUCUUUUGUAUAGGAAGAAAAUGACAGUACUAUACGAAUAAGGUCCGGCUAAUUACGUG
Molecule: ribosomal RNA, 478 nt
Filed under: uncultured bacterium
Lineage: Bacteria
Description: partial 16S ribosomal RNA
Rfam family: Bacterial small subunit ribosomal RNA
Source: RNAcentral